GCCCCACGUCCCGGUCCUCCUCGCCCAUCGAGCGCGCCGCCCCCCUCUCCUAUCAAUUCCGAAUCUAACGCCCGCAUGCCAUCUCCUCUCCUCUAUCUUCUGAACGCCCGCAUGCCAUCUCCUCUCCUCUAUCAUCUGAAAGUCAUGGUGUCAGUGGUGGUUCGGGCCUCGAUCCGGAGAACCGCGAGGCCACGUUGGGGCGGUGCGCAAGGGCGGCACUGGCGACUGGCUGGAAGGGGAAGCGGAGGGUGAUGGAGGAGCGGCGCUAUUUCCUCUGCCUCACCGUCGCGGCGGCGGUUCAGCGUGUCUUGGCGCCUGAUGGCCCCGCUGGGCCAAGAGCGCACCUUGCACCGGCUCGAGGAUAAGCAUGGGCGGCGGCCGACAACGAGCAUGGGUGGUGGCGUAUGGGGAGAGGGCGUCGGUGGCCUGUAGAUGAUGGGACGACGGUCGUUUGAUCAUGGGAGCACGACAAGAACAGUACUAAUCCUUCUCUGUCUCUGUAUCAAUGUGAGGCGCUCCUCCAUUCGAUCCCAAGAAAAUAACGAUUAUGUUUGAAGAUCAUGCUAGGAUUAUGCUUCAGAAGCGUAGGAACGACGCCUCCAACAGCACCUGCCGCCACAGCACCUGCAGCUCUGCGCGCACCUGCAACAUGGUCCUCCGUGCAAUGUAUUUUUUUUUUCAUCUAUACUAUUGGUGUCAAUCUGAAAAGUGAUCUGUGCAUAUGAUAUUUACGUAUCUGAA
This is a long non-coding RNA of Triticum dicoccoides, 741 nucleotides long. RefSeq lists it as uncharacterized. NCBI's taxonomy places the organism in Eukaryota, Viridiplantae, Streptophyta, Magnoliopsida, Poales, Poaceae. The record is from RefSeq and is a predicted model, not a curated record. The transcript has 2 exons.